This 507-nucleotide ribosomal RNA is filed under the name Hapalochlaena sp. 3006B_Ningaloo. Its description in RNAcentral is "partial large subunit ribosomal RNA". It matches the Rfam family "Bacterial large subunit ribosomal RNA", at positions 1817 to 2597 of the family's 2925-position model. Lineage: Eukaryota; Metazoa; Mollusca; Cephalopoda; Octopoda; Octopodidae. RNAcentral also lists the same sequence under 1 other name. The record is from RNAcentral.
GUCUCUUUGAGUAUUUUUAAUAGAGAGUUGUGCCUGCUCGGUGAUUAAUAUUAAACAGCUGCGGUAUUAUAACUGUACUAAGGUAGCAUAAUAAUUUGCCUUAUAAAUUGAGGCUAGAAUGAAUGGUUUGACGAAAAUUAUACUGUCUCUAGUUUAUUUAUUAGAAGUUAAUUUUUAUAGUGAAAAAGCUUAAAUAAUUUAAAAGGACGAGAAGACCCUAUUGAGCUUUAUAUUAUAUAUUGAAGGUAUAAUUGUAUUUAUUUAAUAUAAUUUUGGUUGGGGUGAUCAAGGAAUAAAAAAUUGUUAGUUAACUUCCUUAAAAGAAAUAAUAUAUAUGUAUUAAUAAAUCAAUAGUUUUGCUUAGAAGAUAAGUUACCAUAGGGAUAACAGCGUAAUUUUUUUUGAAAGUUCUUAUUGAAAAAAGAGAUUGCGACCUCGAUGUUGGAUUAAAAUAACCUUAAGGUGUAGAGGCUUUAAUUGGUAAAUCUGUUCGAUUUUUAAAAUUUU